RNAcentral lists this ribosomal RNA (494 nucleotides) under uncultured bacterium. Its description in RNAcentral is "partial 16S ribosomal RNA". It matches the Rfam family "Bacterial small subunit ribosomal RNA", at positions 28 to 507 of the family's 1533-position model. The record is from RNAcentral.
GACGAACGCUGGCGGCGCGCUUAACACAUGCAAGUCGAACGGAAAGGCCUGCUUUCCCUUGUGGAUUGCGGGUACUCGAGUGGCGAACGGGUGAGUAACACGUGAGUGAUCUGCCCCCAACUUUGGUAUAAGCCUGGGAAACUGGGUCUAAUUCCCGAUAGGACUGCAGGGUGGUGCCUGUGGUGGAAAACGAUUUUCUAGUGGUUGGGGAUGAGCUCGCGGCCUAUCAGCUUGUUGGUGGGGUAAUGGCCUGCCAAGGCGGCGACGGGUAGCCGGCCUGAGAGGGUGGACGGCAACAUUAGGACUGGGAUACGGCCCAGACACGUGAGGGAGGAAGCAGUGGGGAAUAUUGAACAAUGGGCGGAAGCCUGAUGCAGCGACGCCGCGUGGGGGAUGACGGACUUCGGGUUGUAAACUCCUUUCGACCGCGAGGAAGCCACCUGGUUGGAAGGGUGGUGACGGUAGUGGUAGAAGAAGCACCGGCUAACUACGUG